Molecule: long non-coding RNA, 213 nt
Filed under: Elaeis guineensis (African oil palm)
Lineage: Eukaryota; Viridiplantae; Streptophyta; Magnoliopsida; Arecales; Arecaceae
Description: long non-coding RNA (EGUI_LNC030289)
Source: RNAcentral
CUCUAAGAACAAUCAUCCUGCGAAUCUGAACGAAGUUAGGAUCACGAUCAACUCUUUGAUCCUUCCUUGAUCUUUUUCUUUUCUUCUUUUCUUGCUCUCCUUCUCUUGAUUAUGAAGCAAUCAAGGUCUGAAAAUCAGCAACUAAAGGUGCCGCCCAACUCCUUUGGGUGUUGGAAGAUGGAGGACGUCCAACCUAGUUGAAUGUUGGAACCA